RNAcentral lists this unclassified non-coding RNA (337 nucleotides) under soil metagenome. RNAcentral describes it as "partial contains 5.8S ribosomal RNA, internal transcribed spacer 2, and large subunit ribosomal RNA". The stretch from base 1 to 120 matches the Rfam family "5.8S ribosomal RNA", at positions 35 to 154 of the family's 154-position model. The record is from RNAcentral.
GAUGAAGAACGUAGCGAAAUGCGAUAAGUAGUGUGAAUUGCAGAAUUCAGUGAAUCAUCGAAUCUUUGAACGCACAUUGCGCCCCUUGGUAUUCCAUAGGGCAUGCCUGUUCGAGCGUCAUUUGUACCUUCAAGCUCUGCUUGGUGUUGGGUGUUUGUCUCGCCUCUGCGUGUAGACUCGCCUUAAAACAAUUGGCAGCCGGCGUAUUGAUUUCGGAGCGCAGUACAUCUCGCGCUUUGCACUCAUAACGACGACGUCCAAAAGUACAUUUUUACACUCUUGACCUCGGAUCAGGUAGGGAUACCCGCUGAACUUAAGCAUAUCAAUAAGCGGAGGA